Molecule: long non-coding RNA, 1402 nt
Organism: Rosa rugosa (rugosa rose)
Lineage: Eukaryota; Viridiplantae; Streptophyta; Magnoliopsida; Rosales; Rosaceae
Exons: 7
Source: RefSeq, a predicted model, not a curated record
AUCUUUUAAAGCCGUCAGAUUGGUUAUGAAGAGCUGAUCGGACGAUGAGAGAAAACUUCCUUCAAAGAUACCCCAUUCACUCCUUCAGAGUUCUAACCUAACUUAGAUCGAGAUCUGGAGGUUUCUCCCCUCAUCUCUCUCUCUCCACACCCGAAAGCUCGGUUCUCAUACUCAUUUACUCAGUUUUGAGUUUUGAAAAUUGAAACCAAAAGCUUAUCGAUCUCUUUCUCUUCCUUGUUCCACCAACCACUCAUAUCGGUUCUCUCACCUCCUCUUCCUCCCAAAAUCACUAAAAUUUGUUUCUCUGGAGCGAUCCAUCCUUCCCCAAUAGCAGAUUCUGUGGUCCAAAUUCAUUACAGUAUUUGAAUCUAGGGUUAUACUGUAAAAUUUAUUAUUUGUCGAUCAUUUGACUCAGUUUUUUUAUUUGUAUUUGGGGAUCUUAGGAGUAGGAUAAACUGAUUUUAGGGUUCAAUUGGGUUUAGGUUUUUCUUUUCUGAUCUGAUCUUUUGAUUUUAGGGUUAACGGUUACUCUUUCUACUCAAUCUCAUUACACACCCUUUCUCUUUACAUUUCAGUAAGGGGACGUUUAUUUUGGAGACAAAGGUGGGCUGAUCUAUGUGCGUUUGGCAACUCUGGUAGAGAUCCAUGUUGGUCAGAUUGCAAACGGAACCUUCUUUUGAAUUGUUUCAUGGGCGAAGAAGUUCUUGUGCCGGCCACACCUACCUAUUAUUUUGGCAGGAGUUUUGCUUGCAUGGAAGCCUCGGAUGACCGUCUCUCUGAUCAUUUUCUCACCUAUUCCACCUUUGAAUAUGAAGGGUAACUGUGUUCAACAAAUGAAAUUUAGUUUCAAUGUAGAGAGUUGAGCAAUGCCAUAUAUCUUGAGAAGGCCAAGUAUUGGGACACUUCAAAGCUUCAAGUCAUAUCCUUCUUGCUGAAGGCUUUAUUCAAAGAAGAGAUGCGUGCAGAUUGUUUCAUGUGUAAGCGAUAGCUCGUUACAAUUUUCUGUAUUGGGCAAUGUAAUUGUUUUUUGUUCACUUUCUGCAGUUGCAUUUAGAGAAGGGAAUGAUGGACUGCCCACAUGCAAAGUGCACUCCUUGUAUCAGAUUGUAAUGGCAGAGCUUGAGAAGUUGGGUCAGAAAUAUCGUGUGGCUCUGAGGCUGUCCGUAUCAAAGGAGUUGCAGCUGUGGGAUGAAUAGUCUUGAUGUUUGUAUUUUGAUGGGUGCAACUGUAAAUUCCUAGUUCGUAUAUUUAUUGUAUGAUACAUUUUAAAAUAUAGUACAGGGUACAAUACAAGAAUGUAGAGGUGCCAAUUGGCACCUUAUUUUUUUAAUCCAACCUCAUAAAUUUGCCACUGAUAACAGUGACAUUCCAAAGCCACUAAUAUCAGUGUGGAUUUAGAUUC